GAUGAACGCUGGCGGCGUGCCUAAUACAUGCAAGUCGAGCGAACAGACGAGGAGCUUGCUCCUCUGACGUUAGCGGCGGACGGGUGAGUAACACGUGGAUAACCUACCUAUAAGACUGGGAUAACUUCGGAAAACCGGAGCUAAUACCGGAUAAUAUAUUGAACCGCAUGGUUCCAUAGUGAAAGACGGUUUUGCUGUCACUUAUAGAUGGCUCCGCGCCGCAUUAUCUAGUUGGUAAGGGAACGGCUUACCAAGGCAACGAUGCGUAGCCGACCUGAGAGCGUGAUCGGCCACACUGGAACUGAGACACGGUCCAGACUCCUACGGGAGGCAGCAGUAGGGAAUCUUCCGCAAUGGGCGAGAGCCUGACGGGGCAACGCCGCGUGAGUGAUGAAGGUCUUCGGAUCGUAGAACUCUGUUAUUAGGGAAGAGCAAAUGUGUAAGUAACUAUGCACGUCUUGACGGUACCUAAUCAGAAAGCCACGGCUAACUACGUG
Molecule: ribosomal RNA, 497 nt
Filed under: uncultured bacterium
Lineage: Bacteria
Description: partial 16S ribosomal RNA
Rfam family: Bacterial small subunit ribosomal RNA
Source: RNAcentral